This 1434-nucleotide ribosomal RNA is filed under the name uncultured bacterium. Its description in RNAcentral is "bacterial SSU rRNA". It matches the Rfam family "Bacterial small subunit ribosomal RNA". The record is from RNAcentral.
AGAGUUUGAUCAUGGCUCAGAACGUACGCUGGCGGCACGCCUAACACAUGCAAGUCGAACGCAGUAGCAAUACUGAGUGGCGAACGGGUGAGUAUAAUGUGGGUAUCUGCCUUUUGGUUUGGAAUAACACGAGGAAACUUGUGCUAAUACCGAAUAAGCCCUUACGGGGAAAGUUUUAACGCCGAAAGAUGAGCCCGCACUUGAUUAGCUUGUUGGUAGGGUAAUGGCCUACCAAGGCUACGAUCAAUAGCUGAUCUGAGAGGAUGAUCAGCCACAUUGGGACUGAGACACGGCCCAAACUCCUACGGGAGGCAGCAGUGGGGAAUAUUGCACAAUGGGGGAAACCCUGAUGCAGCGAUGCCGCGUGAGUGAAGAAGGCCUUUGGGUUGUAAAGCUCUUUCGUCGGGGAAGAAAAUGACUGUACCCGAAUAAGAAGGUCCGGCUAACUUCGUGCCAGCAGCCGCGGUAAUACGAAGGGACCUAGCGUAGUUCGGAAUUACUGGGCUUAAAGAGCACGUAGGUGGUUAAGAAAGUUGGUGGUGAAAUCCCAAGGCUUAACCUUGGAACUGCCACCAAAACUUUUUAACUAGAGUGUGAUUAAGGUAAGCGGAAUUUCUAGUGUAGAGGUGAAAUUCGUAGAUAUUAGAAAGAACACCAAUUGCGAAGGCAGUUUUCUGGAUCAUUACUGACACUGAGGUGCGAAAGCAUGGGUAGCGAAGAGGAUUAGAUACCCUCGUAGUCCAUGCCGUAAACGAUGUGUGCUAGACGUUGGGAAUUUAUUUUUCAGUGUCGCAGCAAAAGCGUUAAGCACACCGCCUGGGGAGUACGACCGCAAGGUUAAAACUCAAAUGAAUUGACGGGGACCCGCACAAGUAGUGGAGCAUGUGGUUUAAUUCGAAGAUACGCGCAGAACCUUACCAACACUUGACAUGUCUGUCGCGAACCUAAGAGAUUAGGUUUUCAUUUAGUUGGACAGAACACAGGUGCUGCAUGGCUGUCGUCAGCUCGUGUCGUGAGAUGUUGGGUUAAGUCCCGCAACGAGCGCAACCCCUACUUUUAGUUGCCACCAUUUAGUUGAGCACUCUAAAAGAACUGCCAGUGAUAAGCUGGAGGAAGGCGGGGAUGACGUCAAGUCCUCAUGGCCCUUACGUGUUGGGCUACACACGUGCUACAAUGGCACUUACAAUGAGAAGCAAAGAUGCAAGUCUAAGCCAAUCUCAAAAAGGUGCCUCAGUUCGGAUUGCACUCUGCAACUCGAGUGCAUGAAGCUGGAAUUACUAGUAAUCGCGGAUCAGCGCGCCGCGGUGAAUACGUUCCCGGGUCUUGUACACACCGCCCGUCACACCAUGGAAGUUGGUUACACCUGAAGGCAAAAUUUAAAACUUUUGACUACGGUACGAUCAGCGACUGGGGUGAAGUCGUAACAAGGUAGCC